UGCCAAGUGGAAUGGUUGAGGCAAUGUCAGAGGGAGGCUGUCAGCCUGAUGGGAGUGGAUGGAGGCAUGAACUGUGAAAAGAACCAGCCGAAGGAGCCUGGUCUUCCAGGAAAGCACAGUUUCAGAUGCUCCUGACUUCUGAGGAUGAUGAGAGCAGUUAAGCAAAGAAAAGAACUUAAGCCAUGGGGUGAUAAGGAAGAAAGAAGAGAAAAAAAUUCAGGAUGUGUAAUGUGUGGCACGGCCCAUGGGUAGAUGUCAUUGUCCUCGGAGAUGUAGAGCAGGAGGGAGAUGAAAGAAAAACAAGUCACAUCCUCUCCUUAAGGAGCUGUGGGUCUCAUGGAAGAGAAGAGCAAGAAAUGAUGCAAAUUUGUAUAAGAGACUAUCAAUAA
This 389-nucleotide long non-coding RNA is filed under the name Bos indicus x Bos taurus (hybrid cattle). RNAcentral's name for it is "lncRNA (ENSBIXG00005008540.1)". The record is from RNAcentral. Lineage: Eukaryota; Metazoa; Chordata; Mammalia; Artiodactyla; Bovidae.